This 547-nucleotide ribosomal RNA is filed under the name uncultured haloarchaeon. RNAcentral describes it as "bacterial SSU rRNA". It matches the Rfam family "Archaeal small subunit ribosomal RNA", at positions 340 to 886 of the family's 1478-position model. The record is from RNAcentral. Lineage: Archaea; Methanobacteriati; Methanobacteriota; Halobacteria; Halobacteriales; Halobacteriaceae.
CGCGAAACCUUUACACUGCACGACAGUGCGAUAAGGGGACCCCGAGUGCGAGGGCAUACAGUCCUCGCUUUUGUGUACCGUAGGGAGGUACACGAAUAAGAGCUGGGCAAGACCGGUGCCAGCCGCCGCGGUAAUACCGGCAGCUCAAGUGAUGGCCGCUAUUAUUGGGCCUAAAGCGUCCGUAGCCGGCCGCACAAGUCCGUCGGGAAAUCCACCCGCCUAACGGGUGGGCGUCCGGCGGAAACUGUGCGGCUUGGGACCGGAAGACUCGAGGGGUACGUCCGGGGUAGGAGUGAAAUCCCGUAAUCCUGGACGGACCGCCGGAGGCGAAAGCGCCUCGAGAGGACGGAUCCGACGGUGAGGGACGAAAGCUAGGGUCUCGAACCGGAUUAGAUACCCGGGUAGUCCUAGCCGUAAACGAUGCUUGCUAGGUGUGACGCAGGCUACGAGCCUGCGCUGUGCCGUAGGGAAGCCGUGAAGCGAGCCGCCUGGGAAGUACGUCCGCAAGGAUGAAACUUAAAGGAAUUGGCGGGGGAGCACUACAACC